UCUGGUAAUGAUGGCAGAGAGGUCACACCCGUUCCCAUACCGAACACGGAAGUUAAGCUCUCUAGCGCCGAUAGUAGUUGGGACCUUGUCCCUGUGAGAGUAGGACGUUGCCAGGC
Molecule: ribosomal RNA, 116 nt
Filed under: Bacillus cereus
Lineage: Bacteria; Bacillati; Bacillota; Bacilli; Caryophanales; Bacillaceae
Also listed under: 9 other names
Source: RNAcentral